Anguilla rostrata (American eel) is the source of this 841-nucleotide long non-coding RNA. RefSeq lists it as uncharacterized. The record is from RefSeq and is a predicted model, not a curated record. The transcript is spliced from 2 exons. NCBI's taxonomy places the organism in Eukaryota, Metazoa, Chordata, Actinopteri, Anguilliformes, Anguillidae.
GGUACCGGCUCGGCUCGACUCGACUCGACUCGACUCGUUUUGGUACCAGGUACUUCGUUUUCCACUGCAGGUAGUACCCACGUCAAUGUAGCUGGUCGUCAUAGCGACGCCGCAUGAAACUGCCGUUUCUGACCAAUCAGUGGUCUGUAGUGUUUUUACGUCACCUUUUGGCAUCGCCUCAGCUUGCUGGGAACCUCGACAGAGGUGAUACCAAAAAAGUACCAGGUACUAUCCACAACUUUUGCCUGAUGGAAAACCAAAAAAGGUGGUGAGUGAGUAGAGAGAAGUCAAGUUGAGCCAUUACCAUGCGGUGGAAAAGCAACUUGAGUGUUUCUUUUUUAAUUUUGGACGAGAGGCGAGCUGGGAGAGUGGCUGUCUCCGGGCUCAUGAGUGUUUGGACGAACAAGCGCCUAAUUUGUGAGCGGGCGGCUGCGGAGAUCGGAACCUGGCAGUGGCUGCGAGCAAGGCGGGAGAGUCGGUAUCCCCUUCGGGGCUGACAAACGGAGAGCGGCGGUGACUGCAGAGUGGGUCGGCACGGCUGAGUUGGUGGAGCCGGAGAGUGGUGCAAGGCUUUUGCUUGAGGAGAUCACUCCCCCAGACCAUAAGGAACGUGUUUCCGGCAAUCCUAACAAUGUGUGGGUUCAAAGCCAGUGUGAGCCGGGAACUGAGCGGCAGUGGGUGUGUCCAUCCCCCCCCCCCCCUGUCCUACAGUCGGUGAGGCCACAGGACACCGACUUGAGAGGAGAGAGUGGUAACUGCAGACUGGUGAGAUCCUCUGUCCGAUUUGUGUCCCUGUUUUUAUGAAUUGUAAAGCUCAAUAAAACGUGACCUUUGUUCUUUA